AUCGUCCUCCUCAUCGCUGUCUCUCAUGCUGAUACCCUGCAGGCCGUCUCCCGCCUUGACCGCCGCUGUGGCUUCCUCCACCGUCAGCCGGUUGUAGAUGGUCUCGUAGCUCUUGUUGUUCAGCGUGCCAUCUAGGACGCCCUGCAGCCUGAAGUCACGGCAAAAAUGUGGUUGAUUGGGUGACGCGUUAUCAGCAGGCAGAGGGUCUACAUGUGGAGGAGAUCGGGGUACCCGAUGGUUCAGACAGACACCAGACAUUCACCCAGCAGACCAGUGAGUCCCAUGCAAGUUACGUGAUGGAUGUAAUCAGAUGCAAGUCAUGUAUACGCAGACCAGUCCAGACCAGUCCAGACCAGUCCAGACCA
This is a long non-coding RNA of Scatophagus argus, 365 nucleotides long. RefSeq lists it as uncharacterized. The transcript is spliced from 3 exons. NCBI's taxonomy places the organism in Eukaryota, Metazoa, Chordata, Actinopteri, Scatophagidae. The record is from RefSeq and is a predicted model, not a curated record.